UUUUUUUUUAAAGAAAAUCUGCAAUCUGUUUUCUUAUGUGAUUAAUUGCUACUUCUAUAUGCAUACAAAUUGAAAAUAAAAUUCUUAGAAUUUCAUAUCGUCUGAUGAUUUCGUCAUGUCUGCUGUUAGUACACAUUUUUAAAUGUACAAAAUGACCCGGACAAGAGAUCCCGACAUAUAAAUCAAACGUACACUAUUUGACAUGGAGUCUUGUCGGUUUUCAGUUGUUUUGGACGGUUACGUUAGUUAAUGGGUCCUCGUGUUAGUAUUGAUGACAGGAAAAUGACAUUAAUUGACAAAUAAUUACUCUACUGACAACAUUGGUCUUUUUAUAUGACUUUCUUACCCAAAGAUAUGGAUUUUUUUUUACCACAAAAUGAUUUAAUUAUGGCCACCAUGUAGAAAUAAUUACAGGUAUUUCAUAAUUAACAUGUUUUAUAACUGUGGGCAAUGUACAACAAGUAUGUUCUUACCUUUUUUUGUAUUAGUACAUGGAACCAAAAUUAUCAACCGCGUUAACAAUAGUUAUAAUUUUAAAUUUUUAAAAUCACACAUAACUGUCUUUGCAUGCAUGAUUUUUUUUAUAAGUUGUUAAUAUUGGCUUUGAAAUAGCUGUCAGUAACCACGAGUAUAUACUCUCAGAUCUGUACUUAUUGUCUUUUUGUUGUGGGAUGUAUAAGUUCCCUUCCACGUCCACUCAUGUGUUUGUUAGAUGUACCCAUCUCAUGAUAAGUUAGGCCUCUUUCAAUUGAUUUUAAUAGAUUAUAAUUUGCUCUUAAUAUAUGUUGAACUGUUACGCCACUGUCCAAGGUAUGGAAAGUGUUUGCGUCUUCAAAUUAGUUUAACAUGCCGUUUGUGUCUGUCCCAAGUCAGGUGGUUGUCUAUGGUUUCUUUGUAUUCGUAAUAUUUUUGUUUGUUUAUUGUUUUGUACAUGAAUUAGGCUGUUAGUUUUCUCGUUUGAACUGUUGCAUUUGUGAUUUCGGGUCCUUUGAUAUAGAUGACUAUGCAGUAUAUGUUUUACUCUUUGUUGAAGGCGAUAAGGUGGCCUAUAGUUGUUAAAUUUUGUCAUUAGGUCUCUUUUAGGGACUUGUUUCAUUGUCUUUCACUACAUUGUCUUAUUUUUCUAGAUCACUUCAUUAUUUUUGUAUUUUUGUUAAGUUUUUUUUUCUUAUUUGCUUCGUACCUAUCGGAUAAGUCGGUCUUUCAAACUGAUCGUUUAUAUACAGGUUUUUUUAUGUUGAGCUGUUUCGACAUUUUCCCAGAUUAUAUAUAUAUGGGGAGGGUAGGGUGUAAGGUGCUCACAAAAUAUGUUUCCACUACGUUCUAUUUACGCGCAUGGAGCUUGUAAUUCAGGUUUUUAUUAUUGGUUGAUACACGUCAUAUUAGUUCUUUCUUUAUUGUGUUCUCUUUGGAUUGGUUUUCAAAUUUGUCAUUCCGGUGAGAUACUAUAGUAUCAUAGUUUUUCAUAUUGUCUUCAAACAAAUUAGCUAACAAACAAAACGGCUUUUCAUCUAUUGAAUGUAAUUGAAUGUAAUGGUUAACAAUCAACUCAUUUAAAGAAUCAAAAUCAUUUAUUUCAUUCAUCUGCUCCUUUUUUAACACGGAAGACUUGGUUUUCCCGUUUGAAUGGUUUUACACUAGUAUUUUUGGG
This 1651-nucleotide long non-coding RNA is filed under the name Mytilus galloprovincialis (Mediterranean mussel). Lineage: Eukaryota; Metazoa; Mollusca; Bivalvia; Mytilida; Mytilidae. The record is from RNAcentral.